CCUCUCCUGCUGCCGUGUGAGAUAUGGCUGCUUCCCGUUCUGCCAUGAUGGUGCAGGAUUUCAGACGAGUAGCCACCUGGAUGAGAUACUGAUUUUCCUGCUGAGUAGGAGUUGAAACAGAAUGGAGGGUGGAGAGAAAGGAACCAGAAACAUGGAAGAAAACUGGAACCAGCUCACACAGAGCAUCUGAGGAGGAGAGGGAAGAAAAGCCUGCAGGAGCCCCUUUUGCCCUUGACUGCCCUGUCCUGGAAGUGACCCCUCACUUCUGCUCAGAUUCCAUCAGUGAGAACGAGGCACAGGGACCCACCGAGACACCAAUGGGCUGUGGGCUGAGGAAGAGAUUGAGAAACUGAGGUCGUGGGAGAUGAAGUCAUUUUCCUAAGGUCCCAUAGCUGGGACGUGUUCUUUUUUUACAGGUGGGGAAAAUGAGGCCCACAAGAAGGACAUCCCUUAUCAGUGGUGGGACCAGGACACAUAAGCCCAGGGCUGUCUGACUCCAAGAUCACUUCUCUUUCUCCUCCUGGAUUCUGAGACUGAUGGAAAGAGGGGCUCUCCAGGCUCUACCUUGAAGAGGAAGUUUCUGAUGUCAAACCUGGUGCUGAGAGUUUGUGACCUUUGCUCAGCACACUGGUGGUGGGGAUCAGAGCCAGAUUAGAUUCUCCAGCCACUCUGGUCUCUUUCCAGCCUUGGUCUGUGCCUCUGCAAAGUAUUCCAUGUCUACAAAGUGUUUUUGUAUCCCUUUUCUCAAUGCUCCUCAGCAAGCAGGACUGGAAAAUAAGUCAAGUGUCCAGGCCCAGGCAUGGGACAGAUUCACUGCUGAGCUUAGGCUACCUGACACUGAAGGCCAGGGCUAGGGGGAACCCCAGGUGCUUCCUGGACUGGAGGAUCCUUGUCACCAACAUAGCUGGCAUCCUGGGACCACUGCUGGAGAAAAAGGAGACGGAAAGGAAGCACGUACUGAAAACCUACAAUAGCUUCAUAUUGUGUUAGAUAUUUUUACUUACUCCUUAAUUUAACUCUGCCACAAAGCUAACAUUAUCAUCAACUUCGCCAUAGUGCAGAGGAGAGAGCUGGCUGACCCAAGGAUACACAGCUAGCAGGUGAGUGAAGCAGAGCUUGAUUCCGGUAUGACAGCUCCAGAGCCCACCUGCUUAACAGUGAUGCGUGCCCACCUGCCCUGGAAAUGGGGCAUGCACAGUGCAUUAUUAAUGAUAAAGCUCAUAUUUCUGAAUGGGUGCUGUAUGCCAUGCACACGGCCCUUUUAUGUAAUCCCUAGGACAGUCAUAGGCAAAAGGUGUUAUCGUGCCCAUUUUAUAGAUAAAACAUUCAAAACCAGGAGGUGCGCAGCAAAGUAUUCCAUGUCUACAAAGUGCUUUCAUGUCCCUUUUCUCAAUGCUGCAAAGCAGGCAGGACUAAAAAGCGAAUCAAGUACCCAGGCCAACUCAUGGGGCAGAUUCACUAUUGAGCUCAGGCCAUCUGACACUG
This 1485-nucleotide long non-coding RNA is filed under the name Homo sapiens (human). RNAcentral's name for it is "HSALNT0277335". Lineage: Eukaryota; Metazoa; Chordata; Mammalia; Primates; Hominidae. The record is from RNAcentral.